Molecule: ribosomal RNA, 500 nt
Filed under: uncultured bacterium
Lineage: Bacteria
Description: partial 16S ribosomal RNA
Rfam family: Bacterial small subunit ribosomal RNA
Source: RNAcentral
AGUGAACGCUGGCGGCGUGCUUAACACAUGCAAGUCGAACGGCAGCACGGACUUCGGUCUGGUGGCGAGUGGCGAACGGGUGAGUAAUACAUCGGAACGUGCCCAGUCGUGGGGGAUAACGUAGCGAAAGCUACGCUAAUACCGCAUACGAUCUAAGGAUGAAAGCGGGGGAUCGCAAGACCCCGCGCGAUUGGAGCGGCCGAUGGCAGAUUAGGUAGUUGGUGGGGUAAAGGCUCACCAAGCCGACGAUCUGUAGCUGGUCUGAGAGGACGACCAGCCACACUGGGACUGAGACACGGCCCAGACUCCUACGGGAGGCAGCAGUGGGGAAUUUUGGACAAUGGGCGAAAGCCUGAUCCAGCCAUUCCGCGUGCAGGAUGAAGGCCCUCGGGUUGUAAACUGCUUUUGUACGGAACGAAAAGGCUCUGGUUAAUACCUGGGGCUCAUGACGGUACCGUAAGAAUAAGCACCGGCUAACUACGUGCCAGCCGCCGCCGUAA